GAUGAACGCUAGCGAUAGGCUUAACACAUGCAAGUCGAGGGGCAGCAUGGUCUUAGCUUGCUAAGACUGAUGGCGACCGGCGCACGGGUGCGUAACGCGUAUGCAACUUGCCUCACAGAGGGGGAUAACCCGUCGAAAGACGGACUAAUACCGCGUACACUCCAUCUUGGGCAUCCAAGGUAGAGGAAAUGAAAUUCGCUGUGAGAUAGGCAUGCGUCCCAUUAGCUAGUUGGUGAGGUAACGGCUCACCAAGGCGACGAUGGGUAGGGGAACUGAGAGGUUGAACCCCCACACUGGUACUGAGACACGGACCAGACUCCUACGGGAGGCAGCAGUGAGGAAUAUUGGUCAAUGGGCGAGAGCCUGAACCAGCCAAGUCGCGUGAAGGAUGACUGUCCUAUGGAUGGUAAACUUCUUUUAUACGGGAAUAACAAGAGUCACGUGUGACUCCCUGCAUGUACCGUAUGAAUAAGCAUCGGCUAACUCCGUG
Molecule: ribosomal RNA, 490 nt
Filed under: uncultured bacterium
Lineage: Bacteria
Description: partial 16S ribosomal RNA
Rfam family: Bacterial small subunit ribosomal RNA
Source: RNAcentral